This 734-nucleotide long non-coding RNA is filed under the name Chloebia gouldiae (Gouldian finch). RNAcentral describes it as "Erythrura gouldiae (Gouldian finch) lncRNA (ENSEGOG00005007091.1)". Lineage: Eukaryota; Metazoa; Chordata; Aves; Passeriformes; Passeridae. The record is from RNAcentral.
CUUGGGGACAAGUAUGAAACACUGGGCUGUUAAGCGUGUGCCACAAAAAAUAAACUGCGCCGCGUGAGAGCCGCGGGAGGAGCGCUCGCAGGGCUGGGCACGCGCCGGCACACCUCAGCUCCUCGUGGAUCCUCCCCACUGCUCCAGCAGCUCUAAUUAGUUGGGGUUAGAUAUUCCCAACUCAGGGAGAUGCUCUCCAUAAAUAAUUGUUUGCAUUUAAAAGCAGAUUUCUGCAAAGGUUCUGGUGCUGGCGGUUUCCCUCCAGGAGCACCGGCAAAACGGGGAUGCAAUGUCCAGAUGUGAACAAUGUGUGCGACUUAAUCAGCUAAAUUUUGGGUUAUUUCUGCAAGAACUCCAUAAUGAAGGAGGUUAUCAUCCAGGAGUUAUGCCCAGCUUGCUUUUAAACCUGCAAAGGGAAGAUAAUGUGAACAAAGCAGUGAUGGCUCUCAGGUUCCUCCCCAGGCAUCAGGAGAGGAGUGGGGCUGUUUUGGAUCACCUGAGCACAGUUUCCACAUGUCGCUCAGUCAGAUUUUCUGUUAGCAAGACUGAGAGACGAAUAACAUAUGUUACCCCACAACUGACCUUGAAGGGGAACUGAAGAAACCAUCUUCCCUAGGGCUGAGAUGUAAUUCAGACACGAGCUCACUCCGUAGAGGUCCUUUUCUGAAAAGACACUGCCAACUGUGUCCUAAGCCCUGGAAACGUUCCUGCCUGCAUCGAUAGCAGAGCGUGAA